This 2939-nucleotide ribosomal RNA is filed under the name Priestia megaterium. RNAcentral describes it as "bacterial LSU rRNA". It matches the Rfam family "Bacterial large subunit ribosomal RNA". The record is from RNAcentral. Lineage: Bacteria; Bacillati; Bacillota; Bacilli; Caryophanales; Bacillaceae.
AUGGUUAAGUUAGAAAGGGCGCACGGUGAAUGCCUUGGCACUAGGAGCCGAUGAAGGACGGGACUAACACCGAUAUGCUUCGGGGAGCUGUAAGUGAGCUUUGAUCCGGAGAUUUCCGAAUGGGGAAACCCACUGUUCGUAAUGGAACAGUAUCUUUAUCUGAAUACAUAGGAUAUUGAAGGCAGACCCGGGGAACUGAAACAUCUAAGUACCCGGAGGAAGAGAAAGCAAAUGCGAUUUCCUGAGUAGCGGCGAGCGAAACGGAAUUAGCCCAAACCAAGAGGCUUGCCUCUUGGGGUUGUAGGACACUCUAUACGGAGUUACAAAGGAACGAAGUAAAUGAAGCGACCUGGAAAGGUCCGUCGAAGAAGGUAACAACCCUGUAGUUGAAACUUCGUUCCCUCUUGAGUGGAUCCUGAGUACGGCGGAACACGUGAAAUUCCGUCGGAAGCUGGGAGGACCAUCUCCCAAGGCUAAAUACUACCUAGUGACCGAUAGUGAACCAGUACCGUGAGGGAAAGGUGAAAAGCACCCCGGAAGGGGAGUGAAAGAGAUCCUGAAACCGUGUGCCUACAAGUAGUCAGAGCCCGUUAAUGGGUGAUGGCGUGCCUUUUGUAGAAUGAACCGGCGAGUUACGAUCCCAUGCAAGGUUAAGCUGAUAAGGCGGAGCCGUAGCGAAAGCGAGUCUGAAUAGGGCGUUUAGUAUGUGGUUGUAGACCCGAAACCAGGUGAUCUACCCAUGUCCAGGGUGAAGUUCAGGUAACACUGAAUGGAGGCCCGAACCCACGCACGUUGAAAAGUGCGGGGAUGAGGUGUGGGUAGCGGAGAAAUUCCAAUCGAACCUGGAGAUAGCUGGUUCUCUCCGAAAUAGCUUUAGGGCUAGCCUCAUGUUGUGAGAGUCUUGGAGGUAGAGCACUGAUUGGACUAGGGGCCCCCAACGGGUUACCGAAUUCAGUCAAACUCCGAAUGCCAAAGACUUAUCCAUGGGAGUCAGACUGCGAGUGAUAAGAUCCGUAGUCAAAAGGGAAACAGCCCAGACCACCAGCUAAGGUCCCCAAGUAUACGUUAAGUGGAAAAGGAUGUGGAGUUGCUUAGACAACCAGGAUGUUGGCUUAGAAGCAGCCACCAUUUAAAGAGUGCGUAAUAGCUCACUGGUCGAGUGACUCUGCGCCGAAAAUGUACCGGGGCUAAACGUAUCACCGAAGCUGUGGAUUGACAUCUUUGAUGUCAGUGGUAGGAGAGCGUUCUAAGUGCUGCGAAGUCAGACCGUAAGGACUGGUGGAGCGCUUAGAAGUGAGAAUGCCGGUAUGAGUAGCGAAAGACAAGUGAGAAUCUUGUCCACCGAAUGCCUAAGGUUUCCUGAGGAAGGCUCGUCCGCUCAGGGUUAGUCGGGACCUAAGCCGAGGCUGAAAAGCGUAGGCGAUGGCCAACAGGUUGAUAUUCCUGUACCACCUCCCCGCCGUUUGAGUAAUGGGGGGACGCAGUAGGAUAGGGUAAGCGCGCUGCUGGAUAUGCGCGUUCAAGCAGUUAGGCUGAUGAGUAGGCAAAUCCGCUCAUCAUAAAGGCUGAGCUGUGAUGACGAGGGAAUUAUAGUACCGAAGUUCCUGAUUCCACACUGCCAAGAAAAGCCUCUAGCGAGGCGGGAGGUGCCCGUACCGCAAACCGACACAGGUAGGCGAGGAGAGAAUCCUAAGGUGAUCGAGAGAACUCUCGUUAAGGAACUCGGCAAAAUGACCCCGUAACUUCGGGAGAAGGGGUGCUCUGGUAGGGUGUAUAGCCCGAGAGAGCCGCAGUGAAUAGGCCCAGGCGACUGUUUAGCAAAAACACAGGUCUCUGCGAAGCCGCAAGGCGAAGUAUAGGGGCUGACGCCUGCCCGGUGCUGGAAGGUUAAGAGGAGGGGUUAUCCUUUGGGAGAAGCUCUGAAUCGAAGCCCCAGUAAACGGCGGCCGUAACUAUAACGGUCCUAAGGUAGCGAAAUUCCUUGUCGGGUAAGUUCCGACCCGCACGAAAGGCGUAACGAUCUGGGCACUGUCUCAACGAGAGACUCGGUGAAAUUAUAGUACCUGUGAAGAUGCAGGUUACCCGCGACAGGACGGAAAGACCCCGUGGAGCUUUACUGUAGCCUGAUAUUGAAUUUUGGUACAGCUUGUACAGGAUAGGUAGGAGCCUGAGAAGCCGGAGCGCUAGCUUCGGUGGAGGCGUCGGUGGGAUACUACCCUGGCUGUAUUGAAAUUCUAACCCGCGGCCCUGAUCGGGCCGGGAGACAGUGUCAGGUGGGCAGUUUGACUGGGGCGGUCGCCUCCUAAAAUGUAACGGAGGCGCCCAAAGGUUCCCUCAGAAUGGUUGGAAAUCAUUCGUAGAGUGUAAAGGCACAAGGGAGCUUGACUGCGAGACCUACAAGUCGAGCAGGGACGAAAGUCGGGCUUAGUGAUCCGGUGGUUCCGCAUGGAAGGGCCAUCGCUCAACGGAUAAAAGCUACCCCGGGGAUAACAGGCUUAUCUCCCCCAAGAGUCCACAUCGACGGGGAGGUUUGGCACCUCGAUGUCGGCUCAUCGCAUCCUGGGGCUGUAGUCGGUCCCAAGGGUUGGGCUGUUCGCCCAUUAAAGCGGUACGCGAGCUGGGUUCAGAACGUCGUGAGACAGUUCGGUCCCUAUCCGUCGUGGGCGUAGGAAAUUUGAGAGGAGCUGUCCUUAGUACGAGAGGACCGGGAUGGACACACCGCUGGUGUACCAGUUGUCUUGCCAAAGGCAUCGCUGGGUAGCUAUGUGUGGACGGGAUAAGUGCUGAAAGCAUCUAAGCAUGAAGCCCCCCUCAAGAUGAGAUUUCCCAUAGCGCAAGCUAGUAAGAUCCCUGAAAGAUGAUCAGGUUGAUAGGUCAGAGGUGGAAGCGUGGCGACAUGUGUAGCUGACUGAUACUAAUCGAUCGAGGACUUAACCAAA